UACGGGGGGGGCAAGCGUUGUUCGGAAUUACUGGGUGUAAAGGGUUCGUAGGCGGUGCGGCAAGUCGGGAGUGAAAUCUCUGGGCUUAACCCAGAGGCUGCUUCCGAAACUGCUGUGCUUGAGUGUGGGAGAGGCGCGUGGAAUUGCAGGUGUAGCGGUGAAAUGCGUAGAUAUCUGCAGGAACACCCGUGGCGAAAGCGGCGCGCUGGACCACUACUGACGCUGAGGAACGAAAGCUAGGGGAGCAAACAGG
Molecule: ribosomal RNA, 253 nt
Filed under: uncultured bacterium
Lineage: Bacteria
Description: partial 16S ribosomal RNA
Rfam family: Bacterial small subunit ribosomal RNA
Source: RNAcentral